RNAcentral lists this long non-coding RNA (2109 nucleotides) under Homo sapiens (human). Its description in RNAcentral is "HSALNT0307521". Lineage: Eukaryota; Metazoa; Chordata; Mammalia; Primates; Hominidae. The record is from RNAcentral.
GGCAGAAGAACCUAUGGGCACAAAAAGCAGGAACGAGUAGCGGUGGCUGAAGAACGAGCAGGAGCUUGAAUUUCAGUUUUCUUAUGAGGAAUUUUCCAGAAAAGAUAUCUUCACUGUGAAAUAACUAAAUAAAUGCCCACUCAGUACAGUCACUGUCUCCCUUUUGGAACUUGAUGGCACCUUAAGCCCAGGUUUGCCUCCACUCUAGAAACUCAUCAGAGUGAUGCCCUUCUCAAAUGGGGGAGGUCCCAAAGCGGAUAUCCUGGCAGUGUGAAAGGCCGGCUAAAGGUUUGUGCCAAGAGGAUCUGUGGAAUGCAUCUCCUACAGCUGGUGCUGCUGAGUAACCACUCUGAUCUGGCAUCUUCUUUGAUCAAGUUACAGAGCAGAGUUUCCAGGGCUGGGGAUUGAAGUCCUGCCUCCUCCCUUUGUCUCUGGUUGUCCUCGACAAAAAUACCUGCUACAUGCUUCCUUCUGUAUGAAUACAUGAGACCUACCUUCAUUCAUGUUUCCUCUAUGAAGCUUUCCCUGCACUCCAAACACAGAGCUGAGACUUCCACCUAAUGUAGAAAGCUAGCACGAGCCGGCGCUGACAGAUGGAAGACUUGAGAUGUUACAAGAUUAUAUAUGGAAACACAAAAGGAGUGGAGUUGCUGGGUCAUAUGGCAAUUCAUUUGAGGAACUGAGAAGCUUAUUCCAUGGAGGCUGAACUGUUUUAUAUUCCCACCAGCAACGUUAGAGACGGGGUUUCACCGCGUUAGCCAGAAUGGUUUCUAUCUCCUGACCUCAUGAUCCGCCCACCUCGGCCUCCCAAAGUGCUGGGAUUACAGGCGUGAGCCACUGUGCCUGGCCAAACGCUGGUAGGUUUUGAGUGAGACCACAUUACAUUUAAAUAUAUUUACAAUGUUUUCUGCUCUAUUCUUUAGUAGACUUUUCCUCACGUGGUCCUACGCAUUUCUUUCUAAGUUUAUUUUCAUAUAGCCUAUCCCUGUCUACAAUUUAAAUUGGGAUCUUCUAUAUUCUAGUUAUUAUUUGUAAAUAAGAAAACUACUGACUUUUUUCUAGUAUAUUUUCUCAGAAUAGGAUUUUCUAUUUUUCUAUAAAAUGACCAAUGUUAUGAAGCUUCGUAAGUUUUGUCAAAGUGAUACACACAUACAGCAAAAAAUCAAAUAGUACAGAAGUAUAAAAGCAACAACCUCUGCCUUGCCCCUUCUCCACCUUCAGGUCCCCUUCCCAGAUACAAUAAUUUUUAGCUUUUUAUUUUUAAUUAUUCUGGUUGUUACCUACAUAACUCUGGGCAAUAUGGAAAAGUUAUUGAUUUUGUAUAUUAAUUUCAUAAUCAGUUACCUUGAUGAAUUCUCUUGUUUCUAGUAGUUUUUCUUUAGGGUUUUAAAGGGAUACAAUCAUACCAUUUGCAGUUAGUAACCAUUUUAUCUCCUCUUAUUUCCAACUUCGUACUGUUUUCUCUUGUCUAAUUUGUUUUUAAUUGGUGGGUACUUCUAGAACAAGGUUAAAUAAAAGUGGUGUUGGUGGGCGUCCUUAUUUCUGAUAUUAAUGGGAAUGAGUAUAAUGUAUAAAUAUAUAACCAUGAUUUUGGUUUUUUUCCAAGUUUUUAUCAGUAAUGAUUGCUGAGUUUUAUCAAAAUUUUUUUGGCAUCCAUUGAGAGGAUUAUAUAUUACUCUUUGACACAUUAAUGUGGUUAAUUAAAGUAACCAACUUAUUAACCUUGAAAUAGUCUUAGUUAAAUAAACCCUACUUGUCAAUGCUAUAUCAUUAUUUUAAUAUUGUACUGAACAUUUUACAAAGGUGUUUCACCAUAAGGCAUAUUGAUCUGUAAUUUUUUUUUUUCUGUUGAACUUGCUAUUGUCAGGUUUUGGUGUAUUAUGUUGGUUUUGGAGAAUAAAUUUAAAAGUUUCCUUUAUGUUAUCUAUACAUUGCCUGAAAAGAGUUUAAAUAGCAUUGAAAAUGAUCUCUUCUUUGAAGAUUUAACCAAUUUCACCUGUAAAUCUGUCUGUGCUUUGUAAUUUUGGUGAUACUGUUGACUCAAAUUCCAAAAGCAGUAAAUGCAGUGUUUUAUAUUUUUCUAUUAAAAAUGUAAAAUCAAAUUAUAUU